GACGAACGCUGGCGGCGUGCUUAACACAUGCAAGUCGAACGGACAGGCCCUGCUUUUGUGGGGUGCUCGAGUGGCGAACGGGUGAGUAACACGUGAGUAACCUGCCCUUGACUUUGGGAUAACUUCAGGAAACUGGGGCUAAUACCGGAUAGGAGCUCCUGCUGCAUGGUGGGGGUUGGAAAGUUUCGGCGGUUGGGGAUGGACUCGCGGCUUAUCAGCUUGUUGGUGGGGUAGUGGCUUACCAAGGCUUUGACGGGUAGCCGGCCUGAGAGGGUGACCGGCCACAUUGGGACUGAGAGACGGCCCAGACUCCUACGGGAGGCAGCAGUGGGGAAUAUUGCACAAUGGGCGGAAGCCUGAUGCAGCAACGCCGCGUGCGGGAUGACGGCCUUCGGGGUGUAAACCGCUUUCGCCUGUGACGAAGCGUGAGUGACGGUAAUGGGUAAAGAAGCACCGGCUAACUACGUG
This 468-nucleotide ribosomal RNA is filed under the name uncultured bacterium. RNAcentral describes it as "partial 16S ribosomal RNA". It matches the Rfam family "Bacterial small subunit ribosomal RNA", at positions 28 to 507 of the family's 1533-position model. The record is from RNAcentral.